GUCUAUGGCCAUACCACCCUGAAUGUGCCCAAUCUCGUCUGAUCUCGGAAGCUAAGCAGGGUCGGGCUUGGUUAGUACUUAGAUGGAAUCACCUAGGAAUACCAGGUGCUGUAGGUG
Molecule: ribosomal RNA, 117 nt
Filed under: Pteropus alecto (black flying fox)
Lineage: Eukaryota; Metazoa; Chordata; Mammalia; Chiroptera; Pteropodidae
Source: RNAcentral